GACGAACGCUGGCGGCGUGCCUAAUACAUGCAAGUAGAACGCUGAAGGAGGAGCUUGCUUCUCUGGAUGAGUUGCGAACGGGUGAGUAACGCGUAGGUAACCUGCCUGGUAGCGGGGGAUAACUAUUGGAAACGAUAGCUAAUACCGCAUAAUAGCAGUUAUUGCAUGAUAACUGUUUGAAAGGUGCAAUUGCACCACUACCAGAUGGACCUGCGUUGUAUUAGCUAGUUGGUGGGGUAACGGCUCACCAAGGCGACGAUACAUAGCCGACCUGAGAGGGUGAUCGGCCACACUGGGACUGAGACACGGCCCAGACUCCUACGGGAGGCAGCAGUAGGGAAUCUUCGGCAAUGGACGGAAGUCUGACCGAGCAACGCCGCGUGAGUGAAGAAGGUUUUCGGAUCGUAAAGCUCUGUUGUAAGAGAAGAACGAGUGUGAGAGUGGAA
This 446-nucleotide ribosomal RNA is filed under the name Streptococcus mitis. RNAcentral's name for it is "bacterial SSU rRNA". It matches the Rfam family "Bacterial small subunit ribosomal RNA", at positions 28 to 466 of the family's 1533-position model. The record is from RNAcentral. Lineage: Bacteria; Bacillati; Bacillota; Bacilli; Lactobacillales; Streptococcaceae.